AUCCGGGUUGCGGACAGUGUCUGGUGGGUAGUUUGACUGGGGCGGUCUCCUCCUAAAGAGUAACGGAGGAGCACGAAGGUUGGCUAAUCCUGGUCGGACAUCAGGAGGUUAGUGCAAUGGCAUAAGCCAGCUUGACUGCGAGCGUGACGGCGCGAGCAGGUGCGAAAGCAGGUCAUAGUGAUCCGGUGGUUCUGAAUGGAAGGGCCAUCGCUCAACGGAUAAAAGGUACUCCGGGGAUAACAGGCUGAUACCGCCCAAGAGUUCAUAUCGACGGCGGUGUUUGGCACCUCGAUGUCGGCUCAUCACAUCCUGGGGCUGAAGUAGGUCCCAAGGGUAUGGCUGUUCGCCAUUUAAAGUGGUACGCGAGCUGGGUUUAGAACGUCGUGAGACAGUUCGGUCCCUAUCUGCCGUGGGCGCUGGAGAAUUGAGGGGGGCUGCUCCUAGUACGAGAGGACCGGAGUGGACGCAUCACUGGUGUUCGGGUUGUCAUGCCA
Molecule: ribosomal RNA, 494 nt
Filed under: Escherichia coli
Lineage: Bacteria; Pseudomonadati; Pseudomonadota; Gammaproteobacteria; Enterobacterales; Enterobacteriaceae
Description: bacterial LSU rRNA
Rfam family: Bacterial large subunit ribosomal RNA
Source: RNAcentral